AACGAACGCUGGCGGCAGGCUUAACACAUGCAAGUCGAACGCCCCGCAAGGGGAGUGGCAGACGGGUGAGUAACGCGUGGGAACAUACCCUUUUCUACGGAAUAGCUCUGGGAAACUGGAAUUAAUACCGUAUACGCCCUACGGGGGAAAGAUUUAUCGGGGAAGGAUUGGCCCGCGCUGGAUUAGCUAGUUGGUGGGGUAAAGGCCUACCACGGCGACGAUCCAUCGCUGGUCUGAGAGGAUGAUCAGACACAUUGGGACUGAGACACGGCCCAAACUCCUACGGGAGGCAGCAGUGGGGGAUAUUGGACAAUGGGCGCAAGCAUGAUCCAGCCAUGCCGCGUGAGUGAUGAAGGCCUUAGGGUUGUAAAGCUCUUUCACCGAUGAAGAUAAUGACGGUAGUCGGAGAAGAAGCCCCGGCUAACUUCGUG
This 431-nucleotide ribosomal RNA is filed under the name uncultured bacterium. Its description in RNAcentral is "partial 16S ribosomal RNA". It matches the Rfam family "Bacterial small subunit ribosomal RNA", at positions 29 to 507 of the family's 1533-position model. The record is from RNAcentral.